GCCUUCGUGGUGUAGUGGUCAGCCCGCUGGACUAGUAUUCCAGAGGUCCGUGGUUCGAGUCCCGGGGAAGACG
This 73-nucleotide transfer RNA is filed under the name Stegodyphus mimosarum. It matches the Rfam family "tRNA". From Rfam's summary of the family: Transfer RNA (tRNA) molecules are approximately 80 nucleotides in length. Lineage: Eukaryota; Metazoa; Arthropoda; Arachnida; Araneae; Eresidae. The record is from Rfam by way of RNAcentral.